This 92-nucleotide non-coding RNA is filed under the name Cucumis melo (muskmelon). RNAcentral also lists the same sequence under 1 other name. Lineage: Eukaryota; Viridiplantae; Streptophyta; Magnoliopsida; Cucurbitales; Cucurbitaceae. The record is from RNAcentral.
UUGCUGAUUAAAGGAGAGAUGGUUGGCAUCUCCCCUUACAAGGUCAGGAACAGCUUUUGGGCUUCCCUGUUAACACAUACGGAUAUAUUUCU